Molecule: ribosomal RNA, 465 nt
Filed under: Vreelandella stevensii
Lineage: Bacteria; Pseudomonadati; Pseudomonadota; Gammaproteobacteria; Oceanospirillales; Halomonadaceae
Description: partial 16S ribosomal RNA
Rfam family: Bacterial small subunit ribosomal RNA
Source: RNAcentral
CCUACGGGGGGCUGCAGUGGGGAAUAUUGGACAAUGGGGGGAACCCUGAUCCAGCCAUGCCGCGUGUGUGAAGAAGGCCCUCGGGUUGUAAAGCACUUUCAGUGAGGAAGAACGCCUGGUGGUUAAUACCCAUCAGGAAAGACAUCACUCACAGAAGAAGCACCGGCUAACUCCGUGCCAGCAGCCGCGGUAAUACGGAGGGUGCGAGCGUUAAUCGGAAUUACUGGGCGUAAAGCGCGCGUAGGUGGCUUGAUAAGCCGGUUGUGAAAGCCUCGGGCUCAACCUGGGAACGGCAUCCGGAACUGUCAAGCUAGAGUGCAGGAGAGGAAGGUAGAAUUCCCGGUGUAGCGGUGAAAUGCGUAGAGAUCGGGAGGAAUACCAGUGGCGAAGGCGGCCUUCUGGACUGACACUGACACUGAGGUGCGAAAGCGUGGGUAGCAAACAGGAUUAGAUACCCCAGUAGUC